GACGAACGCUGGCGGCGUGCCUAAUACAUGCAAGUAGAACGCUGAAGAGAGGAGCUUGCUCUUCUUGGAUGAGUUGCGAACGGGUGAGUAACGCGUAGGUAACCUGCCUUGUAGCGGGGGAUAACUAUUGGAAACGAUAGCUAAUACCGCAUAACAAUGGAUGACACAUGUCAUUUAUUUGAAAGGGGCAAUUGCUCCACUACAAGAUGGACCUGCGUUGUAUUAGCUAGUAGGUGAGGUAAUGGCUCACCUAGGCGACGAUACAUAGCCGACCUGAGAGGGUGAUCGGCCACACUGGGACUGAGACACGGCCCAGACUCCUACGGGAGGCAGCAGUAGGGAAUCUUCGGCAAUGGGGGCAACCCUGACCGAGCAACGCCGCGUGAGUGAAGAAGGUUUUCGGAUCGUAAAGCUCUGUUGUAAGUCAAGAACGGGUGUGAGAGUGGAAAGUUCACACUGUGACGGUAGCUUACCAGAAAGGGACGGCUAACUACGUGCCAGCAGCCGCGGUAAUACGUAGCUCCCGAGCGUUGUCCGGAUUUAUUGGGCGUAAAGCGAGCGCAGGCGGUUUGAUAAGUCUGAAGUUAAAGGCUGUGGCUCAACCAUAGUUCGCUUUGGAAACUGUCAAACUUGAGUGCAGAAGGGGAGAGUGGAAUUCCAUGUGUAGCGGUGAAAUGCGUAGAUAUAUGGAGGAACACCGGUGGCGAAAGCGGCUCUCUGGUCUGUAACUGACGCUGAGGCUCGAAAGCGUGGGGAGCGAACAGGAUUAGAUACCCUGGUAGUCCACGCCGUAAACGAUGAGUGCUAGGUGUUGGAUCCUUUCCGGGAUUCAGUGCCGCAGCUAACGCAUUAAGCACUCCGCCUGGGGAGUACGACCGCAAGGUUGAAACUCAAAGGAAUUGACGGGGGCCCGCACAAGCGGUGGAGCAUGUGGUUUAAUUCGAAGCAACGCGAAGAACCUUACCAGGUCUUGACAUCCCGAUGCUAUUUCUAGAGAUAGAAAGUUACUUCGGUACAUCGGUGACAGGUGGUGCAUGGUUGUCGUCAGCUUGUGUCGUGAGAUGUUGGGUUAAGUCCCGCAACGAGCGCAACCCCUAUUGUUAGUUGCCAUCAUUCAGUUGGGCACUCUAGCGAGACUGCCGGUAAUAAACCGGAGGAAGGUGGGGAUGACGUCAAAUCAUCAUGCCCCUUAUGACCUGGGCUACACACGUGCUACAAUGGUUGGUACAACGAGUUGCGAGUCGGUGACGGCGAGCUAAUCUCUUAAAGCCAAUCUCAGUUCGGAUUGUAGGCUGCAACUCGCCUACAUGAAGUCGGAAUCGCUAGUAAUCGUGGAUCAGCACGCCGCGGUGAAUACGUUCCCGGGCCU
Molecule: ribosomal RNA, 1369 nt
Filed under: uncultured bacterium
Lineage: Bacteria
Description: bacterial SSU rRNA
Rfam family: Bacterial small subunit ribosomal RNA
Source: RNAcentral